This 68-nucleotide transfer RNA is filed under the name Paduniella communis. RNAcentral describes it as "tRNA-Trp". Lineage: Eukaryota; Metazoa; Arthropoda; Insecta; Trichoptera; Psychomyiidae. The record is from RNAcentral.
AAGAUUUUAAGUUAAAUAAACUAUUAAUUUUCAAAAUUAAAUUUAAAAACUUAAAUUUUUAAAUCUUA